AUUGAACGCUGGCGGCAGGCCUAACACAUGCAAGUCGAACGGUAACAGGAAGAAGCUUGCUUCUUUGCUGACGAGUGGCGGACGGGUGAGUAAUGUCUGGGAAACUGCCUGAUGGAGGGGGAUAACUACUGGAAACGGUAGCUAAUACCGCAUAACGUCGCAAGACCAAAGAGGGGGACCUUCGGGCCUCUUGCCAUCGGAUGUGCCCAGAUGGGAUUAGCUAGUAGGUGGGGUAACGGCUCACCUAGGCGACGAUCCCUAGCUGGUCUGAGAGGAUGACCAGCCACACUGGAGCGGAGACACGGUCCAGACUCCUACGGGAGGCAGCAGUGGGGAAUAUUGCACAAUGGGCGCAAGCCUGAUGCAGCCAUGCCGCGUGUAUGAAGAAGGCCUUCGGGUUGUAAAGUACUUUCAGCGGGGAGGAAGGGAGUAAAGUUAAUACCUUUGCUCAUUGACGUUACCCGCAGAAGAAGCACCGGCUAACUCCGUG
Molecule: ribosomal RNA, 490 nt
Filed under: uncultured bacterium
Lineage: Bacteria
Description: partial 16S ribosomal RNA
Rfam family: Bacterial small subunit ribosomal RNA
Source: RNAcentral